This 437-nucleotide ribosomal RNA is filed under the name Xenobates argentatus. Its description in RNAcentral is "partial 16S ribosomal RNA". Lineage: Eukaryota; Metazoa; Arthropoda; Insecta; Hemiptera; Veliidae. The record is from RNAcentral.
GUUUUUUUGAUUAAUAUAUAAGAUUGGGCCUGCCCAUUGAUUUAAUAAAUUAAAAGGCUGCGGUAUUUUGACUGUACUAAGGUAGCAUAAUCAUUUGUCUUUUAAUUGAAGGCUAGAAUGAAUGGUUUGAUGAAAAAUUGACUUUAUUUAAUUAAUUUAUUUGAAUUUAAUUUUUUAUUUAAAAAGAUAAAAUUUUUUUAUAGGACGAGAAGACCCUAUAGAAGUUAACUUAAUGAAUAAGUUUUUAUUUUGGUUAAUAAUAAUAAUUUCUUAAAAUAUUAAGUUUUGUUGGGGUGACAGUGAAAUUAAAAUAACUUUCAUUAAUUUUUUACAUUAAUUUAUGUCUUGAUCCAAAAUUUUUGAUUAUAAGAUUAACUUACCUUAGGGAUAACAGCGUAAUCUUUUCGGAGAGUUCAAAUUGAUGAAAAGGUUUGCGA